AUCCUGGCUCAGAUUGAACGCUGGCGGCAUGCUUUACACAUGCAAGUCGAACGGUAACAGGCCGCAAGGUGCUGACGAGUGGCGAACGGGUGAGUAAUGCAUCGGAACGUGCCCAGUCGUGGGGGAUAACGCAGCGAAAGCUGCGCUAAUACCGCAUACGAUCUAUGGAUGAAAGCGGGGGACCGUAAGGCCUCGCGCGAUUGGAGCGGCCGAUGUCAGAUUAGGUAGUUGGUGGGGUAAAGGCUCACCAAGCCAACGAUCCCUAGCUGGUCUGAGAGGAUGAUCAGCCACACUGGAACUGAGACACGGUCCAGACUCCUACGGGAGGCAGCAGUGGGGAAUAUUGGACAAUGGGCGAAAGCCUGAUCCAGCCAUGCCGCGUGUGUGAAGAAGGCCUUCGGGUUGUAAAGCACUUUAAGCGGGGAAGAAGGGCUUACGGUUAAUACCUGUGAGCAUUGACGUUACCCGCAGAAUAAGCACCGGCUAACUCUGUG
This 494-nucleotide ribosomal RNA is filed under the name uncultured bacterium. Its description in RNAcentral is "bacterial SSU rRNA". It matches the Rfam family "Bacterial small subunit ribosomal RNA", at positions 16 to 507 of the family's 1533-position model. The record is from RNAcentral.